Molecule: ribosomal RNA, 212 nt
Filed under: Enterococcus hirae
Lineage: Bacteria; Bacillati; Bacillota; Bacilli; Lactobacillales; Enterococcaceae
Description: partial 16S ribosomal RNA
Rfam family: Bacterial small subunit ribosomal RNA
Source: RNAcentral
UUUUAUGAGAGUUUGAUCCUGGCUCAGGACGAACGCUUGCGGCGUGCCUAAUACAUGCAAGUCGAACGCUUCUUUUUCCACCGGAGCUUGCUCCAUCGGAAAAAGAGGAGUGGCGAACGGGUGAGUAACACGUGGGUAACCUGCCCAUCAGAAGGGGAUAACACUUGGAAACAGGUGCUAAUACCGUAUAACAAUCGAAACCGCAUGGUUUU